CCUACGGGGGGCAGCAGUGAGGAAUAUUGGUCAAUGGGCUUACGCCUGAACCAGCCAAGUCGCGUGAGGGAAGACUGCCCUAUGGGUUGUAAACCUCUUUUGUCAGGGAGCAAUUGGCGCUACGUGUAGCGUUAUCGAGAGUACCUGCAAAGGAAGCACCGGCUAACUCCGUGCCAGCAGCCGCGGUAAUAAGGAGGGUGCGAGCGUUAAUCGGAAUUACUGGGCGUAAAGGGCUCGUAGGCGGUAUGUCAAGUCAAGGGGGAAAUCCCCGGGCUCAACGUGGGAACCGCCUUUGAAACUGGCAAACUGGAGUUGGUGAGAGGUAUGUGGAAUGCGAGGUGUAGCGGUGAAAUCCGUAGAUAUCUGGAAGAACUUCGAUGGCGAAGGCGACUAUCUGGCACCUAACUGACGCUGAGGAGCGAAAGCGUGGGUAGCAAACAGGAUUAGAUACCCGAGUAGUC
This 461-nucleotide ribosomal RNA is filed under the name uncultured bacterium. RNAcentral's name for it is "partial 16S ribosomal RNA". It matches the Rfam family "Bacterial small subunit ribosomal RNA", at positions 338 to 795 of the family's 1533-position model. The record is from RNAcentral.